GAGGGUAGCCGCCGUGAGAGCGCCGCUACCGACGCCGAAGAGAAGAGCGACGACCACGCUAAGGAUGUCCUUACUGCGCUCACGGAGAGAGCUCAAGACAUCGGAGGGCUUGGGUCUUGGUGGUACGACGUUCAAUUGACCGAUCUCGGUGAAGACGGCGACGAAUCCGGUGGAGGAAGAAGGGUCGUUAGGGUUUUCAAAAGAGAAAGAAUAGGAGGCGACGAAGAAUGUCUUGCAGGGUCUAGCGGUGGCUGAUGCCGAAAGGAGGCCCACCGCCAGAAUAGUCACCGCAACCACGAAUUGACUCCACCUUCCCAUUCUUCCUUCACGGCAAUUUCGUCGGAUUUUACGAUUUGAUUGCAAAUUACGAAUCGAGUCUAAUUCCGC
Molecule: long non-coding RNA, 387 nt
Filed under: Gossypium barbadense (sea-island cotton)
Lineage: Eukaryota; Viridiplantae; Streptophyta; Magnoliopsida; Malvales; Malvaceae
Description: long non-coding RNA (GBAR_LNC018272)
Source: RNAcentral